RNAcentral lists this long non-coding RNA (238 nucleotides) under Solanum tuberosum (potato). RNAcentral's name for it is "long non-coding RNA (STUB_LNC009868)". Lineage: Eukaryota; Viridiplantae; Streptophyta; Magnoliopsida; Solanales; Solanaceae. The record is from RNAcentral.
CUCUACUAUAUCAUUGUGUGCUAAUUUUGCGAGUUUUCAUCCUUAUGUUUGGUAUCUGCGAUUUAUCCAUGUUUAGAUGCUUCCUUGUUAUGCUUGGUAGCUCCUGAAAUAGAUAAUAGCACUUAGUUUCUUGAGACUCCACUACUUCAUUGACCAAUGAAUCUGCCACGCAGUUUCCUUCUCUGAAAAUGUGAGUGAUUGAUGCAUUUAUACUUCGUAUCACCCUUCUAAUCUCCUC